UGGGGAAUUUUGGGCAAUGGGCGAAAGCCUGACCCAGCAACGCCGCGUGAAGGAUGAAAUCCCUCUGGGAUGUAAACUUCGAAAGUCGGGAAAGAAAUCGCCAUGGAGAAUACCUGUGGUGGAUGACGGUACCCGACGUAAGCCCCGGCUAACUACGUGCCAGCAGCCGCGGUAAUACGUAGGGGGCAAGCGUUGUUCGGAAUUACUGGGCGUAAAGGGCGCGUAGGCGGCAUGGCAAGUCGGGAGUGAA
This 250-nucleotide ribosomal RNA is filed under the name uncultured bacterium. RNAcentral's name for it is "partial 16S ribosomal RNA". It matches the Rfam family "Bacterial small subunit ribosomal RNA", at positions 355 to 598 of the family's 1533-position model. The record is from RNAcentral.